This is a long non-coding RNA of Mauremys mutica (yellowpond turtle), 494 nucleotides long. RefSeq lists it as uncharacterized. The record is from RefSeq and is a predicted model, not a curated record. The transcript has 3 exons. Lineage: Eukaryota; Metazoa; Chordata; Testudines; Geoemydidae.
GCAUGGAAUCUGAUGAAAUAAUUCAUGCUGCAGUAGGAUUUGUGCAGUGGGUAACAGGUUUAUUAUUAUUAUGGAGUCAAUCUAAUCAUCAGAUGAUUUAUAUGGCUGGUUCUGUUCCCUGUCAUCUGCAUUGGGGCUACAACCACAUUAUAGGGCCCAGUCUUGGAACCCUUACACAUCUCCUGAGAAGGAAACCAUUCCAUCAGGAGGGCAGAAGCAACAUCUCAGAGACAGCAGAGGCGGGCAGAAGAGGACACUGGAAGAACAGCACAUGGGGAUGGACAGCAGAAACCAGGAGCAGUUUGAAGUCCCCAGGGCACAGGAGUUUUCAGUAAUGAUCAUAAUAUGGAACCUGUGCAUGAAGGCAAUGCAGCUGAUGGAAAUGAGCAUCUAGAAAUGGAAAUUUCUACAUCUGAGAUGGAAGAAAGACUUAAAGAGCUCAAUGAAUUCAAAUCAGGAGGACCAGAUAAUUUCCACCCCAGAAUAUUGAAAUA